This 83-nucleotide transfer RNA is filed under the name Volvocales sp. NrCl902. RNAcentral's name for it is "tRNA-Leu". It matches the Rfam family "tRNA". From Rfam's summary of the family: Transfer RNA (tRNA) molecules are approximately 80 nucleotides in length. Lineage: Eukaryota; Viridiplantae; Chlorophyta; Chlorophyceae; Chlamydomonadales. The record is from RNAcentral.
GCCUUCGUGAUGGAAUUGGUAGACAUCCUGGUUUUAGGAACCAGUGCUUAUAAGGCGUGCCGGUUCAAAUCCGGCCGAGGGCA